RNAcentral lists this ribosomal RNA (498 nucleotides) under uncultured bacterium. Its description in RNAcentral is "partial 16S ribosomal RNA". It matches the Rfam family "Bacterial small subunit ribosomal RNA", at positions 899 to 1397 of the family's 1533-position model. The record is from RNAcentral.
ACUCAAAUGAAUUGACGGGGGCCCGCACAAGCGGUGGAGCAUGUGGUUUAAUACGUCACUAACCGUAGAACCUUACCCAGGCUUGACAUCUAGGGAAUCUGGAUGAAAGUCCGGAGUGCCUUCGGGAGCCCUAAGACAGGUGUUGCAUGGCUGUCGUCAGCUCGUGUCGUGAGAUGUUGGGUUAAGUCCCGCAACGAGCGCAACCCUCAUCCGAUGUUGCCAGCGUAAAGUCGGGAACUCUUCGGAAACUGCCCGUGUAAGCGGGAGGAAGGUGGGGAUGACGUCAAGUCAGCAUGGCCCUUACGCCUGGGGCUACACACAUGCUACAAUGGAUGCUAACAAAGGGCAGCAAUACCGCGAGGUGGAGCGAAUCUCAAAAAUGCAUCCUCAGUUCGGAUUGUAGUCUGCAACUCGACUACAUGAAGUUGGAAUCGCUAGUAACCGCAGGUCAGCUAAACUGCGGUGAAUACGUUCCCGGGCCUUGUACACACCGCCCGU